UACGGGGGGGGCAAGCGUUGUUCGGAAUUACUGGGCGUAAAGGGUUCGUAGGCGGCCAAUUAAGUCCGACGUGGAAUCCCAAAGCUUAACUUUGGAACUGCGUCGGAUACUGGAUGGCUUGAAUUCGGGAGAGGGAUGCAGAAUUCCAGGUGUAGCGGUGAAAUGCGUAGAUAUCUGGAGGAAUACCGGUGGCGAAGGCGGCAUCCUGGACCGACAUUGACGCUGAGGAGCGAAAGCUAGGGGAGCAAACGGG
This 253-nucleotide ribosomal RNA is filed under the name uncultured bacterium. Its description in RNAcentral is "partial 16S ribosomal RNA". It matches the Rfam family "Bacterial small subunit ribosomal RNA", at positions 524 to 776 of the family's 1533-position model. The record is from RNAcentral.